AGUGAACGCUGGCGGCAGGCCUAAUACAUGCAAGUCGAACGGCAGCACAGCAGAGCUUGCUCUGUGGGUGGCGAGUGGCGGACGGGUGAGGAAUACGUGGGAAUCUGCCCAGUCGUGGGGGAUAACGUAGGGAAACUUACGCUAAUACCGCAUGCGCCCUCGGGGAAAGCCGGGGACCUUCGGGCCUGGCGCGAUUGGAUGAGCCCACGUCGGAUUAGCUAGUUGGCGGGGUAAAGGCCCACCAAGGCGACGAUCCGUAGCUGGUCUGAGAGGAUGAUCAGCCACACUGGAACUGAGACACGGUCCAGACUCCUACGGAAGGCAGCAGUAGGGAAUAUUGGACAAUGGGCGCAAGCCUGAUCCAGCCAUGCCGCGUGAGUGAAGAAGGCCCUCGGGUUGUAAAGCUCUUUUGUCCGGAAAGAAAAGCGCCGGGUUAAUACCCUGGUGUCCUGACGGUACCGGAAGAAUAAGCACCGGCUAACUUCGUGCCAGCAGCCGCGGUAAU
This 505-nucleotide ribosomal RNA is filed under the name uncultured bacterium. Its description in RNAcentral is "bacterial SSU rRNA". It matches the Rfam family "Bacterial small subunit ribosomal RNA", at positions 29 to 524 of the family's 1533-position model. The record is from RNAcentral.